This 456-nucleotide ribosomal RNA is filed under the name uncultured bacterium. RNAcentral describes it as "bacterial SSU rRNA". It matches the Rfam family "Bacterial small subunit ribosomal RNA", at positions 62 to 508 of the family's 1533-position model. The record is from RNAcentral.
UCGAACGGAAAGGCCCUGCUUUUGUGGGGUGCUCGAGUGGCGAACGGGUGAGUAACACGUGAGUAACCUGCCCUUGACUUUGGGAUAACUUCAGGAAACUGGGGCUAAUACCGGAUAGGAGCUCCUGCUGCAUGGUGGGGGUUGGAAAGUUUCGGCGGUUGGGGAUGGACUCGCGGCUUAUCAGCUUGUUGGUGGGGUAGUGGCUUACCAAGGCUUUGACGGGUAGCCGGCCUGAGAGGGUGACCGGCCACAUUGGGACUGAGAUACGGCCCAGACUCCUACGGGAGGCAGCAGUGGGGAAUAUUGGGCAAUGGGCGAAAGCCUGACCCAGCGACGCCGCGUGGGGGAUGAAGGUCUUCGGAUCGUAAACCCUUGUCAGGAGGGAUGAUGGGUCUGUGGGCUAAUAUCUCACAGAUUUGACAGUACCUCCAGAGGAAGCCCCGGCUAACUCCGUGC